RNAcentral lists this long non-coding RNA (461 nucleotides) under Mus musculus (house mouse). RNAcentral describes it as "long non-coding RNA chr10:58255504-58255965". The record is from RNAcentral. Lineage: Eukaryota; Metazoa; Chordata; Mammalia; Rodentia; Muridae.
GGAGGCGGAGCAGCCGAGACUCCUGAAGAGGCGGUGGAGGCAGCCGCGGGUCGCAGCCGCGAUGGAGGUAACGGUGGGCGUCGCGCCGCCCCGCUGGCCCGCUGUGCCGCUCGAGGGGUGGGAGGGCAUGGGAGCACCCUGUCCCCGCCCUCGCGCCCAGACCCCCGCCGCGGCGCUUGGCAUUGAACCUGGUGCUGGCUCCGGCCGUGGCGACGGCCCAGCUCCGGUCCCUACCGCCUAAAGGGGUCCUCCUCUGCACAGAUUUGUUUGGCCGCGCCUUGUACCUGGAAUUGGGAUGAGCUCUUUUUAUGGUUUGUUUUACAGGAUUCUGCUCCAGAUGCCGUAGCUGCAGCACCCUCCGGGACCCCGAAAUCCAAGGUGAGGAGAGCACUCAGCCGCCUGGUUCCCUGUAGCGCAUAAGGUUAAUGAAUCGGAAAACUUUGGCAUGGGGAGAAUUAUUU